UAAGGAAUCUUCCACAAUGGACGAAAGUCUGAUGGAGCAACACCGCGUGCAGGAUGACGGCCUUAGGGUUGUAAACUGCUUUUAUUAGGGAAGAUUAUGACGGUAUCUAAUGAAUAAGGACCGGCUAACUACGUGCCAGCAGCCGCGGUAAUACGUAGGGUCCAAGCGUUAUCCGGAAUCACUGGGCGUAAAGCGUGCGUAGGCGGGAGCUUAAGUGAGAGGUUAAAUCGUGUGGCUCAACCAUAUCGAUGCCUCUCAUACUGGGCACCUAGAGGAAGGCAGAGGCAAGUGGAAUUGGUAGUGUAGCAGUGAAAUGCGCAGAGAUUACCAGGAACACCAAUGGCGAAGGCAGCUUGCUGGGCCUUUUCUGACGCUGAGGUACGAAAGCGUGGGGAGCGAACAGG
This 404-nucleotide ribosomal RNA is filed under the name uncultured bacterium. Its description in RNAcentral is "bacterial SSU rRNA". It matches the Rfam family "Bacterial small subunit ribosomal RNA", at positions 355 to 776 of the family's 1533-position model. The record is from RNAcentral.